Solanum lycopersicum (tomato) is the source of this 298-nucleotide non-coding RNA. The record is from RefSeq and is a predicted model, not a curated record. Lineage: Eukaryota; Viridiplantae; Streptophyta; Magnoliopsida; Solanales; Solanaceae.
CAUUUUUCUCCAUCACAAACAGUUGCUGAUUCUUAAUUGCGGCGAGGUUACCAGUUCAGGUCCCGUUUCCGGCAACUUUUCCGGUUAUUAAGCUGUUCCGCCGCUGAGCACACUGAUUUAACUUCAGAUUUACCCAAUACAGAGGUGAUUGAAAGCUAUGGCUUCCAAGGUAUCCAUCAUUUCAAAAUGGACGGUUAAAGCUGAGGGAAAAAGUCAGCACCAUACAGAUAAUUGUAAGAUUAUUGAGUUGACACCAUGGGACAUUCUUGAGCUUCAAAUUGACUACUUUCAAACUGGA